This 491-nucleotide ribosomal RNA is filed under the name uncultured bacterium. RNAcentral describes it as "bacterial SSU rRNA". It matches the Rfam family "Bacterial small subunit ribosomal RNA", at positions 355 to 861 of the family's 1533-position model. The record is from RNAcentral.
UGGGGAAUCUUUGGACAAUGGGGGCAACCCUGAUCCAGCCAUGCCGCGUGAGUGAUGAAGGCCUUAGGGUCGUAAAGCUCUUUCGCCUGUGAAGAUAAUGACGGUAGCAGGUAAAGAAACCCCGGCUAACUCCGUGCCAGCAGCCGCGGUAAUACGGAGGGGGUUAGCGUUGUUCGGAAUUACUGGGCGUAAAGCGCACGUAGGCGGACCAGAAAGUUGGGGGUGAAAUCCCGGGGGCUCAACCCCGGAACUGCCUCCAAAACUAUUGGUCUAGAGUUCGAGAGAGGUGAGUGGAAUUCCAAGUGUAGAGGUGAAAUUCGUAGAUAUUUGGAGGAACACCAGUGGCGAAGGCGGCUCACUGGCUCGAUACUGACGCUGAGGUGCGAAAGUGUGGGGAGCAAACAGGAUUAGAUACCCUGGGUAGUCCACACCGUAAAACGAUGAAUGCCAGUCGUCGGGUAGCAUCUAUUCGGUGACACACCUAACGGAUU